UGGCUGUCGUCAGCUCGUGUCGUGAGAUGUUGGGUUAAGUCCCGUAACGAGCGCAACCCUUGUCCUUAGUUACCAGCACGUAAUGGUGGGCACUCUAAGGAGACUGCCGGUGACAAACCGGAGGAUGGUGGGGAUGACGUCAAGUCAUCAUGGCCCUUACGGCCUGGGCUACACACGUGCUACAAUGGUCGGUACAGAGGGUUGCCAAGCCGCGAGGUGGAGCUAAUCCCACAAAACCGAUCGUAGUCCGGAUCGCAGUCUGCAACUCGACUGCGUGAAGUCGGAAUCGCUAGUAAUCGCAAAUCAGAAUGUCGGCGGUGAAUACGUUCCCGGGUCUUGUACACACCGCA
This 350-nucleotide ribosomal RNA is filed under the name uncultured bacterium. Its description in RNAcentral is "bacterial SSU rRNA". It matches the Rfam family "Bacterial small subunit ribosomal RNA", at positions 1046 to 1394 of the family's 1533-position model. The record is from RNAcentral.